RNAcentral lists this ribosomal RNA (266 nucleotides) under uncultured bacterium. RNAcentral's name for it is "partial 16S ribosomal RNA". It matches the Rfam family "Bacterial small subunit ribosomal RNA", at positions 88 to 354 of the family's 1533-position model. The record is from RNAcentral.
CCGGCGACCGGCGCACGGGUGAGUAACACGUAUGGAACCUGCCCGCAGCAGGGGGAUAAGCGGAAGAAAUUCCGUCUAAUACCGCGUAACACCGCGGAGGGGCAUCCCUCGGCGGUUAAAGAUUCAUCGGCUGCGGAUGGCCAUGCGGCGCAUUAGCUAGCCGGCGGGGUAACGGCCCACCGAGGCGACGAUGCGUAGGGGUUCUGAGAGGAAGGUCCCCCACACUGGUACUGAGACACGGACCAGACUCCUACGGAAGGCAGCAG